Molecule: ribosomal RNA, 485 nt
Filed under: uncultured bacterium
Lineage: Bacteria
Description: bacterial SSU rRNA
Rfam family: Bacterial small subunit ribosomal RNA
Source: RNAcentral
GAUGAACGCUGGCGGCGUGCCUAACACAUGCAAGUCGAACGAGAAGUUAACCGCUGAUUCCUUCGGGAUGAGGAGGUUAGCAGAAAGUGGCGAACGGGUGAGUAACGCGUGGGUAAUCUACCCUGUAAGUGGGGGAUAACCCUCCGAAAGGAGGGCUAAUACCGCAUAAUAUCUUCACUUCUAAAAGAAGAGAAGAUUAAAGAUGGCCUCUGUCUUAAGCUAUCACUUCAGGAUGAGCCUGCGUCCUAUUAGUUAGUUGGUGGGGUAAUGGCCUACCAAGACCACAAUGGGUAGCCGGUCUGAGAGGAUGUACGGCCACACUGGGACUGAGAUACGGCCCAGACUCCUACGGGAGGCAGCAGUGGGGAAUAUUGCGCAAUGGGGGAAACCCUGACGCAGCGACGCCGCGUGGAUGAUGAAGGCCUUUGGGUUGUAAAAUCCUGUUCUGGGGGAAGAAACCUUAAGGGUCCAAUAAACCCUUAAGC